UACGGGGGGAGCAAGCGUUGUUCGGAUUUACUGGGCGUAAAGGGCGCGUAGGCGGCGUGACAAGUCACUUGUGAAAUCUCCGGGCUUAACUCGGAACGGUCAAGUGAUACUGUCGUGCUAGAGUACAGAAGGGGCAACUGGAAUUCUCGGUGUAGCGGUGAAAUGCGUAGAUAUCGAGAGGAACACCGGUGGCGAAGGCGGUUCUCUGGGAAUGUCCUGACGCUGAGGAGCGAAAGUGUGGGGAGCGAACAGG
RNAcentral lists this ribosomal RNA (253 nucleotides) under uncultured bacterium. Its description in RNAcentral is "partial 16S ribosomal RNA". It matches the Rfam family "Bacterial small subunit ribosomal RNA", at positions 524 to 776 of the family's 1533-position model. The record is from RNAcentral.